UACGUAAGGGGCGAGCGUUGUUCGGAUUGACUGGGUGUAAAGGGUCUGUAGGUGGUUCUGUAAGUCGGGCGUGAAAUCUGAGGGCUCAACCCUCAAACUGCGCUCGAUACUGCGGGACUUGAGUAUUGGAGAGGUAAGCGGAAUUUACGGUGUAGCGGUGAAAUGCGUAGAUAUCGUAAAGAACACCGGUGGCGAAGGCGGCUUACUGGCCAAAUACUGACACUAAGGGACGAAGGCGUGGGGAGCAAACAGGAUUAGAAACCCCGGUAGU
RNAcentral lists this ribosomal RNA (271 nucleotides) under uncultured bacterium. Its description in RNAcentral is "partial 16S ribosomal RNA". It matches the Rfam family "Bacterial small subunit ribosomal RNA", at positions 524 to 794 of the family's 1533-position model. The record is from RNAcentral.